Molecule: ribosomal RNA, 228 nt
Filed under: uncultured bacterium
Lineage: Bacteria
Description: partial 16S ribosomal RNA
Rfam family: Bacterial small subunit ribosomal RNA
Source: RNAcentral
ACUGGGUGUAAAGGGGAGCGUAGACGGCAUGGCAAGUCAGAAUGUGAAAGCCCGGGGCUCAACCCCGGGACUGCAUUUGAAAACUGUCAGGCUGGAGUGCAGGGAGAGGUAAGUGGAAUUCCUAGUGUAGCGGUGAAAUGCGUAGAUAUUAGGAGGAACACCAGUGGCGAAGGCGGCUUACUGGACUGUAACUGACGUUGAGGCUCGAAAGCGUGGGGAGCAAACAGG